ACCCCAAAUGCUACUCUUAUUUUUCCCACUUUACGCAUUAGAAAACCAACAUCUAAAGAUGUGGAGUCACUUAGUCUGUGUGCCCAGUUGGACUUGAUGCAGAAAUUCCAAGCGCCGCCAUGCAGCCCAGCAACCUUUCGCAGGCUGAGCCCUAAGCCCGUGACGUUGAGGCCCACCUCAGCACACCCCCUUCCUCUCUGCCUAUCCAGAUUCCCUCUAUACCUGAAGCCCAAGUCAGAGCCUUCUUUUCCUUCUGCAGCCUUUCUGCAGCACUCACGCCCUCCCAAGCUGCCAUUUCCUGGCAAACCACUGGGAUAGUUAUUUCCCCAUUGACAAGUCAGUAUGCACUCCUGAACGGCCUUUCAAGUGAAGACUGUGGCUUAGUCAUGGCCAGGGGUAUCAGGAAGAGCAGCACGCCUUGCUCUCUGACAGAGGGCAUAGGACAGUUUCAUAAUCAGCUAUAGUACAAAGCAAUGGACUGUGUGCGGCAGCAGGAUGCAAGGAGCGCUUAACAGAUCUACUGGCAAAUAUGCCGGAUUCGGGACAAGACUUAACCAGACAGGAGAUAAGAACAACAAAUGGAAGAGAGUCCCAGCCAGGGCAGUGGAGCUGGCGGCAGGAAAUGCAGCCAAGUCCCAGGCAAUGACCAGAGCAGUGGGCCUCCGUGAUGCUCAGCCAUAUAACAUGUCACAGCUGAACUGGAAUCAUGAGUUUGACUAUGAUGUAUCUGAUCCUGGUCAGUAUGUAUCAAAGCCUCCAUUGAAGAUGAGGCUCAAUCAUAAUUAAGUUUAUCCCUUUAAAAAUGAAUGAAUCUCAGGUUCCAUUAGGUAUACUGCAAGCUUGCCAGUCUUAUUGAUUCUCAGUUCUCAAUUAUAGUGAUUCUAGCCUCAAAACCUUAUAAAAUACUUUUUAUAACAAAAGACUAAGGACAUAACAAGAAGCUAUGAGCUAUAAAUCUUCUAUGUAUUUAUGACAGAAUUUGAGGCUUUACUUUUUUUUUUUUUCAAGAUUCAUUUAUUCAAAAGGCAGAAAGAAAGGGGGGGAAAGAAAGAGAGAGAAAGAGAUCUUCCAUCUGUUGAUUCACUCCCCCUAAAUGCUCACAAUAGCUAUGGGUAAGUCAGACAGAGGCCAGGAACCAGGAACUCCAUCUGGGUUUCGCACAGUCAUGGCAGGAGCCCAAGCAUAUGGGCCAUGGUUUCCUGCCUCCCAGGUGCGUUAGCAGGAAGCUGAAUUAGAAGAAUAGCUGAAGCACUCCAGCAUGGGAUAUAGGCAUCCCAAGAGGCAGCUUGAUCCACUAAACACAAUGUCCACCCUUGUUUUUGUUUUUAUUAUUAAUUUUUUAUUAUUUAUUAUUUAUUUUAAAAAGGGACAGACGGAUCUUCCACCUGCUGAUUCACUCCCCAAAGCCCACAACAGCAAGGACUGGGCCAAGCUGAAACCAGGAGCUCAGAACUCAGGCUAGGUCUCCCACAUGGGUGGCAGGGACCCAAUUACUUGAUCCAUCACCUGCUGUCUGCCUGCCAGGAUGUGCAUUAGCAGAAAGCUGCCACCAGAAAUGGAGCUGGGGGGCCAGUGCUAUGGCAUAGC
Oryctolagus cuniculus (rabbit) is the source of this 1587-nucleotide long non-coding RNA. The record is from Ensembl. NCBI's taxonomy places the organism in Eukaryota, Metazoa, Chordata, Mammalia, Lagomorpha, Leporidae.